UUUUUUAUGGUUUCUUUUACUCUGCUCACUUGCACAUGAUUUAGCUCACUGGCACUGCAAAAUGUGCGUGGGUUGUGAGCGUGGCAAGGAGAUACGUAUAUAGAGUUUAAAGCUAGUUAAGGUUAAUUUAAAUGGACUUCCAAAAUUAUAACCUUUUUUAAAAGCUCGCAUUCCCCAGAGCCUAAUCUUUGGGCCUGAAGUUGAUGGCAUUUUUCUUCUCCUCUGAAGAGGAGUGUGUUGUGUUGGGAUGGCUGAGGGUGAUGGCACAGGAAGGAUGCUCCUCUCUGUGGCAGCUCUCCGGAAGCUCCGCAGCUGGAGCCGGGCUGCCUGCUCUGCUCUGCUCCCAGCACAGGCUCCCGUUGGUGCCAGAUGGUCCUGGGUCUGCUCUGGGAGUUUCUCUUAGCCUGCCUAUCCUCCUUUGCUUGUUGUCUUUGCAAAGCAUUUCAGUUCCUGAUGGGCUGUGUGUGUUAGCAGCAGUCUGGGAGAAAGGCAGCUGACAUCAGGGUCCGCAGCAAUCCCACUUCUUGUGAAUGACAAGUGGGCCACGAGGCUGUACUGGGCUGUGUGCUGCUUGUUAGUGCAGAGCAGCUGCAGAUAGCAGAGAGAAGUAAAGGCCAAGUCAUCCAUUUGCAGGGGUUUCACAGUGUUACUUCUUCAAUGGCAUUCUGGAUAUUUUACUGCAAUUUGGUUGCAUAGAAGUUGCUGCUGGAGGAGUACAUUGGAAGGGAAAGGAUAAGCAGGUUGAUGAUGAGGCUGGCAUGGUGUUGUCACUAACAAAGGCAUUUCCUGAGCCAGCAGCCUCAGGCUGAGUGAAAAAAGUUUGUCCAGAGGAGGAGUUCCCAGCAGCCACAGCAAAGGUGUUGUCUGUCUGGAGGGUGGGAAAAGGCUUUCAGAGCAAGGUGGGAGAUGGAAUGUGGCAGACAUGGAUGGCCAAGGUACACCUGGGCUGCCAUGCAAGCCCUUCAGCAUCAGCACAGCUCUUAGAGAAGCCCAUGAGAGCCUGAUGACAGUGGCUCUUUGCCACAAGCAGCUGAGGGGUGUCAGGCAGCUGCUCCCAAGGGAUCAUGGAGCAGUGGACACUGAGCUCCCCAGCUGGGGUAAGCUCUGCUGGUCCCCAUUGUUGCAGUUUGGUGGCUGAAGCCAGAUGAGCAUUUUGUAUCUUGGAAGAGUCAAAGCAUGCCACUCCCACCUCUAUAAAAGUAGUAACGGGUUGUGUAGCCUGUUUGAGACAAAAUAUCACGGGAGAGGGAGAGUUGAAGUCAUACAGCAAGAAACGAGGCGUGUUUUCACUGAAAAUGUCAGCUGGAGAUUAAGUGAAAAAAGAUAAAGAUAGAGGACUUUUGGCCUCACUAUCUGUCUUUUGAAUGUUGACUGAUUAAAAUAAGACAGAGUGAAUGGCUGGAUAUCCCCAAACAAUGCUUCACUGUCCCACUGCAGAUUGAUACUGCUGGUGCUCCUUCACCCAGAGAUGGGAUCUGGUCCUGAGCUUUCUGCUCUGGAAGGCACCGUGGCCAGCCAAGAUGGAGCCUGCUCAGGCUGGCCAUAGAUUUUGCCUGCAUGUGGGUGUUGUCUUGUUUUGGGUGACCAGACAUCACCUGGGCUGUGGCAGUACCUCUGCAGCUCAAGUUGGGCGUGUGGUUUGGAAGGGAAAUUCUACUGUCCCUGUGUGAGGUACCUUGGAGCAGUCUAGGAGCACAAAACCUGGUACAGUUUGGGUUUAACUAAGACAAGUUUUACCAGCUAGUGGGCAUUAAGUUUAUCAGGCCAAGCUAGAGCUUGUAGGAGAGUAAAAUAUCCAAAACACAGGUAACAUAGCUGUCAGAUCCUGAGCAGGGUCUACUUUGCUGUUGAACUUGGUGACCCUGGCCAUUUCUACACCUCCUCUUGAGUCUUGAGUUCAUGAAAUGUGGUGAAUCUCUGCUCCUUUCUAGACCAGCCAUCAGCUGGAAGGGUUUUUGGUUUGAAUGGGAAUCUGCUGGAUCUCCCCAGCAGGAACUCAGUCUUAACUCAGACAGUUCCUUGGCUUUGUUGGUGAUCAGUCGGUUUGCUGUCCAUCCUGACAUUAGCUUUUCAAAAAUACACACACCUUAACCCUUUCUGAAUCUUGGGCCAUGUAGCAGACUGAAGUGCAAAGAGGAUUGGCUGCAAAACUGGCAGUGGGAGUUUCUGCUGAGUCUCCCUGGCUGUGGCAUAGAGGCAUUUUUUUUUCUUGAAACACUAUCUUGAAAUAUGCAGGAAGCAAGAAAAACCAGCUUCAUUCUUUCUGUUCGAGACUGGAGAGGUGAGAGGUGUGGAUUUACAUCUGCAGCACAAAAGGAUGUGCCCCUCUUGGCUGGGGAGACCUUGGAGGGAGGUGGCUGUCGGAGCCGAUCCAGUGCACACCUCUGGGACGGCAAGUGCAUGACUUGGAGAGAUUUAGACAGCUUUUUGGGAAAAAACCUCCUUGUGUUGAAAUGUCAUCCCAGUCAUGAUGUUGUUUUCAAUGGAGAAUUGCUUGUGGAAGUGGCUUGCAAGCUGUAUCUGAAGCCCCGCGACCGUGCUGACCCCGGUGGGUUUGGCUCUCUUACUGAACACGGUGCAGGGACCGUGCAGCAGCCCCAUGGGUGUGGCCUUGGUGCAGGAGAUCCCGUCCUGCUGACACAUGGCAGCGCUGUGGGCUGGGGGGUCUUACUGCCAUGCUUGCAGGAAGGUCUGGGAGCCAAGCCUAGGCUCUCAGACAUCAUCACCACCGUGCUCUGGAUUGAUGGCACGGGGAGUUUUGGGGGGACUGUGGGGGCUCUGCUGCGGGGCUGACCCCCAGUGUGGUUUGUGCUGAUGUGGCUGGUGUUGAGAUGAGGCUGGAAGAGGCUGUGUCCAUAUCAUGGACCUGGAUAGUUUCUGGUGCUGGGAAUUGAGUCAGUAAAUGAGCAGUGGUCGUUUUUUCUGUUACUGGUGAACGUCUUGAUGUGUGACUCGGGGCUCAAAUUGCUGUGUGCCCAUCGAGGUUGGACCAUUGGAAGUUUGGGGGAUUUUGUUCUCACUCUGGGUAGAAAGGCAGCUGUCAGAGGGCUGGACAGUGGUUGUGCAUCAGGCAGGACCUGUCUGUUGGGAUGUCUGGGAGCAGCAUUGUCAUUUGAAGGGCAGCCACCUUUGUUUGGCUGUCUCUGCCCCCCAGCUUGCACUUGCUCUAGUGUCUCCCUAGGGAAUGCAUUUUAUUUCUUCCUGCUCCAUCCUGGUUGCACAAUAGUGAGCACAAUGUAGGCUGCUGGCUUUGUUGCCUGCAGUCUUCUGAGGUUUGGAACUUGCCUGGGCUCACCUUUUGCCCAGGCAUCUAACAUGGGCAGGGGAGCUCAGACCAGCAGCUCCUGGGGAGUGAGUCUGCAUCGGCACAUCGAUGUCAGCCGGUCCAGGCUCCUCAAAACUCACCAUGGGGUCGAGAGGUGAGUGCUGGGAUUUCAGGGACCAGCUCUUCUCUCUGCAUCAGUCCAGCAGAAGCAGGUCCAGCUGGCUCACUUUUGGGCGAGCUGGGAAGGCUUGCCGAUCUGUCAAUACUUCAAGAAAUGCCAGGGCUAGGAAUCAUGGAGAAAGGGUUUUGUGAAAUCUGGUAUUUAAACCUCCCACUUGAGUGAUGCUGAGGAGAGCUGGCAAUGUAGCAUUGGCUUAUCAGAAGCUGUGUGGGCAGGUCAGCUUAAAAAAAUGUUGCAUGAGCAGCACCAGAGGUGAAGGAAAGAAGCUGGUGUCUUGUCAGGUACAGAGUUUAAAUAGGGUGAGACUUCCUUUUUAUUAAAAAGAUUGUUUUAUUUAAAUAAUAAAUGACAGUGUGUUCACCGUUGCCAGGGGCUGCUGAAGGGCAACCAGGCAGGUCUGAGCGAAGUAGGGACUAAAGGCUUUGAAUUAUUUUCUGUCAUUAAUAACUCUGAACUGAGCACUGCAAAUUCAUGUAAAAGCCAUCUCUGCUUUCAUGCAUGCGAACAGUUUGGUUUGUGGAUAGAUCUGCUGUGAUCAGAGGCUCAUUCUAUCUUAAAAAAAAAGAAGUUGGCUUCUGAGCUUCACCUCUCAAUAAAAGUCCUGGAAAAUGAGUCCUUGCAGGCUUCUGCAAGGCCAUAUGUAACUUAUCUUGUCCAAUGCACGUCUCUAAUUGGCAGUUUAAAGUAAUUUAAAAAAAAAGAAUCUGUUAACGGUCAGUCUAUUUUUGGUUUAAAGAUGGACUUUAUAUGGUCAUAAAGUAAAAUUCCUAGCUUAAUUAUGGGAAUCAAAGUACAUUGGCUUAAUUGCACAAAGAACUGCACACAAGAGUGCAGAGAGGACACGCUUUAUGAGUGAUUAUCUGCUGAUGAAAUACUAUAUGGAGCAACAAGUGGGGGCAUUCCAGGCUCCAGAAAGCAUCCUGAGGCCAGAACUGCUGGAGGAGAGAUGGCACCAAAUCCUUGUUCAAUCCAAGAGAAUUAGACAUUUCUCUUGUCCAGUGUGGACCAACUCUAUUUCUGGAAAUAAAUGAGCAUGGUCAGGGUUUACUCCCACCACAGCCCUGACUGUCCUGCCUUAUGGAGACUUGAAGCUGGACAGGAUUGAAGGGGUGGUUUAUAACCAAAGCCUUGGUUGAGGAGUUAAUUUGUGUUCUGGAUAUGCUUCCAGAAUCUGGAAAAACAGCUGUAGGAGGUUUGAAUGCCAGAGGAUUUAGUGAUGGGAAAUACAAGUUCCCAAUGAUUAGGAGAUCCAUCAAAUUAUCUCCCUGUUGAUUGGACAUGUAGACUUUGAAAGGUGUCAGCGUGCUUGGGGCAAGCCUGCAUUCUUGAAGCUGAGGUACCUGGGAAGCUUCCUGGUGUCCAGGAAGGAGACAGAAUUUAGGACAUGGCAGUGCCUCUUCCCAAAGUCUGUGUGUGUGCCUGGGAAAAGGCUGUGACAGGGAAGUGAACUGAAGAGCUGUGACUUCACAGCAUUUCCACUUCAGCCCAGGCGUCCCCAGCCUGGUGGCACGGCAGGUGGGCAGGGUUUGGGGAGGACAGAGCUGGUGGGAGGCUGAGGCUGCUGGGGCUGGAGAUCGAGAGCAGAAUUGUGUGCACGGGAGGGAUUGGGCUGGAGUAAGGAAUGGGCACAUCUGCACAACAGGGUGGAAACAAGAGACAAAAAUAGUUAUUGUAGAUUGCUCAGUGGUGAAAAAAGACUUCGGCACAGCUGCUCUGAUUGAAACAUGGUGGGGGUGAUAGAAAUCAAUAAGAUACUGCAUUACCUGCCAUUGUAGCAGGUAUGUUAGGUCAUAAAGGAGGAACACUACAGCUAAAAGGUUGCUGUAAAAUCUGAGGAAAUUGGAGUACUGACGACCAAACAGCCACAUUUAUGUUGGAUACAAAUUCUGUAUUUUAAUGACAUGGAGGUAUUAGGAAGUUUUCUGUUCCAAACAAAAGGAAAGUUGAGGAUUUCAUGAGCCUUGGGAAAAAAACAGGCUUACGCAUCUUCAUAAACCUGUUAGAAAAAGUGAGUUCUAUUAUGACCAUGCUAUCUGGCCAGAUUGUUUGGGAGGGAACUGGCUAACAUUUCGGUGUGCAAACAUAUUGAUUUACUUAAAGAAUAAUUUCUUGUAACAGCCUGGUCUAGAGUUCGCCUUUGUUUAGGACUAAGACGUAAGACCUGAUUCAAAAUACAAUUAUUAUUGAGUUGUUAAGUAACGGUGACCACCUGGGGUCACUGAAUUGCAUGUGCAGAGUUCUCAGGGGUAGAAGUGGACUAAAAGUGAGUCUUCUUUUUUCCAAAAUAUUGCAGGGGAGUCCUUAGACAUACCAUAGAUACCUGGGAAGGUUAUUGACAUCCAGGUGAGGCAGAAAUCUGUCACAAAAGAACGAACAACCCUAAAACUGUUGUUAAAAAUAGUUCUAAAGGAAGGGACUUCUGGAGUUCAGGAAGAUUCCACCCAAGGACAGCAGUCCAGCUCUUAAGGAGCAGACUGGAAGAGCCACGUAGUAGUGCAGGUAACCAUGAUUGGGAAAUGAAGCAGUUUAGGAGGGGCUUUGCAGAGCUGGAGGCUUUGGGGAGCCAAUGCUGUCUGAGGGACAUGAGAGACAAGGCUGGGGAGAAAAUCUGGCUGUGCAGGACUGAAGGUAGAAUUCAUUUCCUGCACUUCUUCAUGCCACUGAAGUGACUCCCCUAUGUCCUUCUGGAGCACAGGGCAUGUUUGAGAGCCUGCUGUCCUUUUGGGUGGAAUAAGGAGCCUUCUUCUGAAACUCAAGUGAGGCAGAGAUGCUGGAGCAAAGUAGGAAAUUCAAGUGGAGGAACAACAGAUGCAUCAAGGGGUUUUAAAAAAGCUUGGGACUGAAACAUUUAAAGGUACUAACAGAAACAGGGCUGUCAAAAAACAGCUUAGUAUUCUCCAUGACUAGAUAACGUCCUAAUGUCAGGUUAUUCUUUUUUUUUUUUUUUUUAAUUAAAGUAUUAAUCGGGACACUGGGGAUUGCAGAUCGGAAACCCUGAACUCCAGUUUGAGAAGGAGAAUCUGAAGUGCUGUAGCUCUUCAGUGUGUGAGACAUGGAAAGCAACAUAUUUUCUGCAGAGAAAAGGGGUUGGAUCAGGUGAUCCUUUCCAGCCCAGUCCAUUCUUUGAUUCUAUGAUCAGUCUGGUUUGCUGGGGCACCUACCAGAAUGACUGAAAAACAGCAGGACAAAAAUAGGCUUGUUAUGAGAAGAGAAGAGUCUUCUUUGGUUGCAGUUGAUAUUUGUCACUUGGGGAGCAAAAGGUAGACUAAAGUCUAGUUAGAGAAAGUGAUUAAAGGCUUCCAAGUCUGCAUCUUCAGCCUUUGAGCAAAUGAGUUCCAUUCAAUGGUUUCAUUAAACCCAAAGUUGCUGGGUGGAGAAAGGUUGAUUUUCAUGAAACUUUUGUGGUGGACACCACUAGAUCCAGGUUGCAAAGUCUGGGCUGACAGGAGAAACAAGCCCAGAAUAUUGGGUAAUAUGGCAUCUAGAUGUCUCCUGCAAAGCAACACCCCCAGUUCAAAUUCCUGCCUUGAGCUGGACUUGCAGGUCUGCCAGAUCCCAGAGUGUGCCUCAGCAGCUGAUAUUGUGGGUAUGUUCUGUUUUCUUCUUACUAAGAAAAAACUCAAAGGUCUUGACUUUUAAAAUGGGUAGAAAGGGAAGGAGUAGGAACAGCGGUCUGGGCAGCAUCUUCCAGUGUUUGCCUAGGUCUGUCCUUGAGGGAGAUUAUUGGUGUGUGCACAUGCAGACCUGUGUUACCUCUCUUCCCAGGAGACCCAGAAGAACCCACAGGUAACUGGUGUCAGCCAGAGCAACCUUUUGCUGCUCUGGCUUAGUUUUAGGCUUCUUAAAAGUCUAGGAGUCAUGGCAAAUACCCUGGCUUCCCCCACCUUCCUUGUCUUCAGUAGAUGAUGGUACCAAAGAGUGAGUGCUUUGAUAAGUCGUUGGAGUUUGCAAUAGAAACAGGAUAACUGCAAGCACCAUGAGGCUUUCAGUCAGAGUUUAUGUUUAAAGACAAAAGCAGAGUGGUUGGGUUAUACCGGGGAAGUGACCCGAGCCUGGCUGUGGCUGGAAAAUUGAGAAGAGCAUAAGGUUUGGUGCAGUGAGCAUGGGGCUGACCCUGGGACAAGUGAGGCAACAAGCAACGGGGGAAAAAAAAGCAAUUUUUAAUGCUCCGUCAGUAUGCCAGGCUGUAAGUGAAUUGUUCAUUCAGGAGGAAGAACUUUGAUUCUGGUAGCAGAGCAAAUGAAGGGAAGAUGUGUGCUCUGCCACAGGAAUCCUGCACAUUUCAGGUGUAGGUGCAGGUCUGUGAGGCUGUUGAGCAGAAGCUCCUCUGUACCACAGCUCCUUAGAGCCCCACAGUGUCCCUGUGCUGCUCUCCCUAGUGAUCAGGUGGUUGUCACUGGCACAACCUUUGUCCCUACCCCUAGAAAUCCAUUAGAUUGCUCACUUCUAGUUAAAUUAUACCAGCUGACUUUGAAGUUACUCAAUAUAAAACUGUCGUGGUAUUGCUUGCAUGAUAGUUAUUUGAUGUAAGACAACAGUUUCUUGUGCUCUCUCUUUAGGAAUUUGGGCUUUGAGUUUCACUGGGGUGCGUUGUACAUACCCAACUGCACAGGAUCAGGCCCAUCUCCGUUUUAAAAUGUAUUUCACAUCUGCAAUUAGAGAUGUUCUAGGUAACAAAUUAGAAGAUCGAGUUGUCUGUCACAGGCUCAGAUGAUCAUAGCGACUUGUGCUAAAGGCUCUGUCCUCAUAGAGACCUGCACGGCUGCUUUGUGUAACUGCUGUCAGAGCUCUGGCAUUCUGGUAAUAGUGUUUUUUAAUAAGUGUACUGAGUAUACUCGCCUUUAAAUCCUGUUAGGUACCAAUAAUUAUUGCUGGUAUUCUGUACAUUAGCUCUGUACUAGCAUUCACAUUGGACUAGGCUUAAUAGCGUGAGUGUCAAAGAUGACUUGAAAAAGGAAAAUUAGUUUAUACCCUUUCCGUGUGGUUCUACUCCAUGUAGUGAGUGGUUUGUAGAAGUACCAUAAGUGCUACAACUGUCUUCCCCCUUUUACUUGCUGUGAUUUUCUGCAGCAGAACAUACAAAUUUAAGUCUGUUGUUCCAUCCUUUGGAGACACUGAGAUAUUAUCAUGGUGAGGUCCAUGGAAAUACCCAGAGAGCUGGACCCUCACACAGAGAUAAGGCAUCUUUUCCAUUUGUUUGUUUUUUUUUUUUUUUUUUUUGCUGUCCAUCCUCCAGGUUUUUGUUUGUUUUUUAUUUUUCAAUGUAAAAAAAGUUAUACCCUCAUCUGUCAGUGCAACAUCCUCUAGGAUAUUUAUGAUCUUCCAGGAAAGGUAGACAGGACUAGAAUAACUAAUGCCAAAAAUUGCCCAUGGCAAGGGAGGGAAAUCCUUGUUUUCAAGGCAAACCCCAUCCAAACUUUUUUCAGCACACCACAAGGGUAUAAAUCCCAACUUUUUCUUUUCCAGGUGAUCUUUAAGGCCAAGUAGCAGAGGGCAGUGUUUGCCCUCCAGUGGGGUUCAGUGCCACGUGGCAUCCGCGCUGUCCCGCAGGUCUGAGCCCCUGGCACCCCGGCAUUUAGGGAGCUCCGUGGGGUUGGCUUUCACCGUGUCCUCAAUUUGGAUCCCCAGGGCGGAAAAAUUAGGACUCUGUCAGUUAAAGAAAAAAACCAAAAGUGAAGGAAAAUCUCUGGAGAGUUGUGUUUCCCCACAGCAGUGACAGCCCCUCAGCACCCACUUCUGUUCAGCCAGGACGCCCGGGUCAGUCCUGCUGGGUUUUUAGCCAUCUUGACCUCAUGUUUGCAAAUAUUAUUGGUAAUAUAAUGCUCUAUGUACAAAUGUCUGUGUGGCUCAUGUGUAUGUUUCUGUGGUUCCAGUCAGCCACAGAGUUCUGGAAUUUCAUUGUACUUUGGUUAAAUGUUGGACUUUUAACUCUUCUACUGUAUGGCUUCUUGAUUUCUCUUGUCCAAUGUGGACCAACUCUAUUUUUGGAAAUAAAUAAGCAUGUAAAUAAAAUGAAUGGGUUUAUGCCACUUACAAGAAAAUGCUUUAUUUAAAAUAUACACUCAGCCUUGUAUAUUUUAUGGUAUCUCAGGGAGCAGCCGAGGCUCAGGCCCCAGCAGCCUUGUGCUGAGAUACCAUAUUAUGUACAAACUCAUUUCCCAGUGCUUUUGGAAGCAGACUUCCCAUCUCCUGAGCCAAACCCCCGUAGGACCAGCCUUGCAGAGGAGGGAGGGGGGAAUCCAGAAACACAUAGUUUAAGGGGAGUAAAGGAAACAAACACGACUUUCCUCUCAACACAAGGCUUCUGGUUUGAGGUGUCCAGGUGCCAGAGACACUACUGGGUGCAGGGAUGCCAUGGGUCGGUUCUCAGCUCCCACUUGGGAGCACAUGGAGAUCAGGAGCACAAUGACAUCUCUUUUGUUUUUUUUUCUCUUUUUUUUUUUUAAAUUCUCCAUAUAAACCAAUAUUUACCAGUAAUCCUGUGUUUCUGUUUUUGUUUUUUGGCAGACUUUUACCAGUAAAUAUCGGUUUAUUCCUGAAACCAGAAGCCCUAAACAUACCUUUGUUUAUAAGGUCAGUUGGCAUUUUGUCUCUCUCAUUCCCCACUCCCUCCCAGUACAACCCAGCAGGUGGUUGAAAGGUACCGAGUUCUCUUUCUAGUUUUCCUGCUCUGCAUCUCUGGGAACUGGAGCCCGCAGGACCUAGAGCCUUCUGUUGGUAAUGUAGAUCCGAGUUUACAAAUUAUUCUUUUGCCAUUUUAAAUCCUGCUUUUAAGGACAGAGGUGUUCCCACCUGCCCACCAUGGGAACUGGUAGAAACCCCUAAAUUUCUCCUUCUCUCUGAAGCCUGCGGGUAGGUCACUCACUAGCAUCUUCAGGCUUGGGACUGAGAAAAUAAUUUAUCCCAAAAUAUACACUAAAAACUGCCAUUUCUGGUUUGCUGUGAGCAGGACCGGGGGAGGGAAGGGCGGGAAAGGAAUUUGUAACUUACUUUUCCCCCCCUUUUUUCCUAGAAAGCAAAUGUGACAUGGGGAGGAGGGAGAGAACAUGAACGUGGCCCUUCCUAAACUCAUUGUAAACUCAUCCUCCGAGGCUGGGAAAAAGGGCAGGUGAAAGAUCUGAUCCUUAAAAGGACAUCACUGGGUGUCUGAGACCCCAAAAGCAGCUGGCAAUUUCUAAGGACUCAAAUUGCUUUUGGUUUAUCCCAAGACAAAUUGACUUGGGAAUGUUGAAGCCUCCUUUUUCCUCAUAAGUAUUUGCCACCCAAACACUUCACGUUUUGGUAAUACCCCAGAAGCAGAGAACCUGAUGAGGGAUAGAAAAUGAGUUUACUGCAUGGUCCCGGCCAAUUUUUUUUUCCCAAGCAAACAAAACACAAAAAAAAUAAUUAAAAAAAAAAAAUCCCAAACCAAAACCCAUCCCUGUACCUCCCCAGAAAAAACAUCCUAAAAAAGCAAGUCCAAGAGGAUCUCAAAUGGCCAGAUGCCCAGUCUGGUUUUGUCCUGCAGGGUUGACAAGGGUGUUUUUGGCAUAGCUGGAGCCCAACCAUGUCCCUUUAAGGAGCACCGUGGCUCGUUUCCUCCUCAGGAACCCUGAGCUGAGGGCUUUGCUGUUCCUGAGAGCUGAUCCAAGCUCCUGCAGCCUUAGUUGGAGUCCAGAAUGAGGGGAGCCCUUCCAGCUGUGCACUUUGAGCUGAAAACUACCUUUCCUCCCCUUUUGCAGCCUGGGUGGUUCUGAUUGCUGGCAGUUCUGUAAUACAACCUUAAUCUGAGCAGUUGAGGCUGGUCCUACCUUAUCUUCAGACGUCUUGCGGAGGACUCCUGUUACCAGUUUGGUACUCAAAAGCUACACCCCACCACCAGAAGUCACUUUUUGUUUUUUCCAAAGGCAGUGAUAGCUCACCCUCUCUAGCUCUAAUGGAAAACCUGAUAAUUGCAAUGCAACUUUCUAAUAAAUUGUUCAUAUAUUCAUAAUUCCGUUGCAAUCCCAAAUUGAAGAAGAGAUCUGUUAAAGUGCACUGGUGUACCAAGCCUCAGAACCACUGCUUUCUCCAGCUCAUAGGAUGCUUUUCCAGACUGUGGAUACGUGUAUGUGUACUGCUGUGUUGAUAAGUAAAUGCCAACGAUGGAGUUCGUUGCUUUUAUACAUCCCAAAGAGAAGUUCUCCACCGUUCACUGUCUGUUUUCUGACCGAAAAGGCGUGUGUUUGUGAACAGUGCUCACGCCAGCUCUGCCAUCCCACCCUCACAUCAGCUCACACCAAUGCCAGGAUGGGAGGAGUUGCCUGCGUACCUUCCCCAAAACACCCCGGGCCGCAGUGGCAUCGUCAGGGAGCAGUUCAAACCUGUGUCCUUUGGGCUUUGUGUAAAGCAAAUGCAGAGCAAGAAAAAUUGAGAUGUUAAAUCCAUUAGAAAACCAAUUCCUUAUUGUACAGUAGUAUGGAGAUCUCUAGUCAACCUGCCAUUAAUAAUAGAUUCUUAUUUUUUGAAUGAUCUAUUUAAAAGAACAGCAAGCAUUGUAUUUGCUAGUAAAUCUGAAGUGUUUACAUGGAAUUACUAAAUAAAUUAUUUGAUCUAA
This is a non-coding RNA of Lonchura striata (white-rumped munia), 12021 nucleotides long. NCBI's taxonomy places the organism in Eukaryota, Metazoa, Chordata, Aves, Passeriformes, Estrildidae. The record is from RefSeq and is a predicted model, not a curated record.